CAAGUCACUUGUCUACCAUUAGUAGAUGGUUGUGCAUUGUUUCAAAAAUGGUACCCUAGUGACUACAA
Molecule: microRNA precursor, 68 nt
Filed under: Dasypus novemcinctus (nine-banded armadillo)
Lineage: Eukaryota; Metazoa; Chordata; Mammalia; Cingulata; Dasypodidae
Description: microRNA dno-mir-224 precursor
Gene: dno-mir-224
Source: miRBase by way of RNAcentral